Molecule: ribosomal RNA, 468 nt
Filed under: uncultured bacterium
Lineage: Bacteria
Description: partial 16S ribosomal RNA
Rfam family: Bacterial small subunit ribosomal RNA
Source: RNAcentral
GACGAACGCUGGCGGCGUGCUUAACACAUGCAAGUCGAACGGAAAGGCCCUGCUUUUGUGGGGUGCUCGAGUGGCGAACGGGUGAGUAACACGUGAGUAACCUGCCCUUGACUCUGGGAUAACUUCAGGAAACUGGGGCUAAUACCGGAUAGGGGCUCCUGCUGCAUGGUGGGGGUUGGAAAGUUUCGGCGGUUGGGGAUGGACUCGCGGCUUAUCAGCUUGUUGGUGGGGUAGUGGCUUACCAAGGCUUUGACGGGUAGCCGGCCUGAGAGGGUGACCGGCCACAUUGGGACUGAGAUACGGCCCAGACUCCUACGGGAGGCAGCAGUGGGGAAUAUUGCACAAUGGGCGGAAGCCUGAUGCAGCAACGCCGCGUGCGGGAUGACGGCCUUCGGGUUGUAAACCGCUUUCGCCUGUGACGAAGCGUGAGUGACGGUAAUGGGUAAAGAAGCACCGGCUAACUACGUG